UACGGAGGGGGCUAGCGUUGUUCGGAAUUACUGGGCGUAAAGCGCGCGUAGGCGGCUUAGCAAGUUAGAGGUGAAAGCCCGAAGCUCAACUUCGGAAUUGCCUUUAAAACUGCAUCGCUAGAAUUGUGGAGAGGUAAGUGGAAUUCCGAGUGUAGAGGUGAAAUUCGUAGAUAUUCGGAAGAACACCAGUGGCGAAGGCGACUUACUGGACACAUAUUGACGCUGAGGUGCGAAAGCGUGGGGAGCAAACAGG
RNAcentral lists this ribosomal RNA (253 nucleotides) under uncultured bacterium. Its description in RNAcentral is "partial 16S ribosomal RNA". It matches the Rfam family "Bacterial small subunit ribosomal RNA", at positions 524 to 776 of the family's 1533-position model. The record is from RNAcentral.